CUAUAGUGGUUGACAAUUUUUUAAUCCAUCCUUUCUGACCCUAAUUCACCCACAACACUCUCUUCUUCUCACACAAUUACCGAUGUAACCACCACUAGAAGCACCUCUCCUCGUAGGUAUUCGUCGUCCACUGAGUUCGCUACACCGCUGCCUUCAUCUUUGAGAUCUCGGCGCUGUCGUCGUUGUCUUCUGCGCCGUCACCGUCGCGUUGUCUUUUGCACCGUCACUGUCGUUGUUGUCGUAUUUAGCUCGCGGCGCCAUUGCCUUUGUCUAUCUCGGCACUAUCGCGGUCGUCUUCAUCAAUUUCUCAAGCAGCUUGGAGGUAAUAGUUGCUUCUUUGCUAUGCUCUCUCUUGUUUGUGGUUCUGCUCUCAGAGUCGUCGUUGUGCCUCUUCUCUGCUCUCUCUCUUCGCCAUCAUUGUUCUAGGCAGAUCCAGAACAAGAAAUUGAAAUUGAAAUUCCGUCAUUAUUAUCACUCACUGCAUCAAGUUGGUUCCUGUUGUCGGUUUGAGUGGAAGCAUUAGUGGCAUUGGUGCAUGCGUUUGCCUGGUAAACCUUGACGGCGGUGGUGGAUGAAGACGAAGAGUCUGCAUGAUCGACAUCAGAGCUUAAUGUGUCGUCAAAGGAGUUACUUUGGAUGCAAUUUUGGUAGCUUUCUAGGAAGAAAUUAAAUAGUACCCUUUUGAAGACCAAGAAUACAUGUUGCACAUUCCUUGUCCACCAAGAUAAGUCAAUCUGUUUAGCACAUCUGAUGAUGAUGUCACAACUAAUAAUUAUAAAAUGCAUGUGUUUUAAUUUAUCAUCGUUAGCUAAGUGAUUUUGUUUAAUUUGUUGUUAGUUAGUACCUUUGAGAGACAAGAGUGUAGAAGAAGAGAAUGGAACCUCCAUGAGAUGUGGAUGCUCCAGCUGGUCUCUUCGGGAGAGAUAGAUCAUAGUAUACUACUAUGGUGGCUCUCAUCCUUGCUUCGCCUUCAACCACCAUUUCCAUUCUUUCUAGCAUCAAAAAGCAAGCACAGGGAUCACAUUUGUUGGUUAUAACUGAUCGAGAAUGUGUUGGAUCUUACUUGGGGCAUCCAAUUUUUAAAAUAUCUUCCUUGAAGUUUUUUCCCUCUCAUAAUUUUUAUACCUUAUUUGUCAAUAGAAGACAGAAAUGGAAUUUCUAGGGCUGCUAAAUAUUGCUGAGAAAACUCAUGGUCUGUUCUUCUCAUACGAAAUUAACUUAACUUUGAGAGGGUUUAUGGUGAUGAAUAGAAGAAGUGUACAAUAACAAAAUAGACCUGACACUGAAGCUGUUACUUUGUGGUGAUGAGAUAGAAAAAGAAAGGUGGAGGAAGCUGAAGAGGUCAUUAUCAGUUAUCAAAGAUAGGCAGCAUCAGAUAUAUAUAGUAUACAUAAAUAUAAAUUUGUUGUAUUUGUGUGGAUUUGUUUCUACCUUCAUUUUUCUUUCAAUACAUAUAUGUAGUAUACAUAAAUAUAUUUAUUUGUAUUAGAAUCUAUUUUCCAUUUUA
This is a non-coding RNA of Arachis ipaensis, 1507 nucleotides long. Lineage: Eukaryota; Viridiplantae; Streptophyta; Magnoliopsida; Fabales; Fabaceae. The record is from RefSeq and is a predicted model, not a curated record.